GUAAGGACUAUGAUGACGAAUUUGAUCUGUGUGCUGUUCAUUUAUGGUCUUGUAGAUGUGCUGGAGAAAGUUUACCUGGGAAAUGUCCACAACUGUGUGUAUUUUUCUGUGAGGGUGUUGGAGAAUCAGUUUGAGUUGGUGUCACACCUGGACAAAUGCACACAUCGACUUCUGUCUGAGAAUGAGAGAGUUGGGACUUUCUCCUCAUCGCUCCGAGAUCGUCUGGCACAAGCUCUCACGUUUUAGGAUGAGAAGCAGCGUUUCUCCUCUGUGCUUCUCACGGCUCGACUUCUGGCCAAGUUUUUGGGCUUCAUCUCUUUCCUGCCUUACCAGACCUCUGAGCUGCCAUCAAGAGACAUACAGGAUGCUGCGAUCACUCUGCGGAGCAAGAGUUCUCCAGUGCUGGAUGUGUGUGCGGUAUUGAGGAGUUCAGUGCAUCGGAGAGGCACCAUUCUGACAGUGCCCUGGAUGGUGGAGUUCCUGUCCAUGCUGGAUUACAUCGGCCCAUUUCUUCCUUGUUACAGGACUGCUCUGUGCCUUCUGCUUCAAAUCUACAAGUGAGUUUAUCACAUACACCGCGUCGGGAAUCACGAUUCU
Molecule: long non-coding RNA, 597 nt
Organism: Sinocyclocheilus grahami
Lineage: Eukaryota; Metazoa; Chordata; Actinopteri; Cypriniformes; Cyprinidae
Source: Ensembl